ACGGUCCAUAAUGGACAAUGGUCC
This 24-nucleotide non-coding RNA is filed under the name Arabidopsis thaliana (thale cress). The record is from RNAcentral. Lineage: Eukaryota; Viridiplantae; Streptophyta; Magnoliopsida; Brassicales; Brassicaceae.